AUCUUUGUGCAGUGGCAGUACCACAGCAGAUGUGGUUAUUGCUAGUUGAAAACUAUACCAAUAAUCAUCAGCAGAAUCAGAAUUGUAUGAAGCAUAUUCCUGAAAACAAUAAUUUG
This is a small nuclear RNA of Saccostrea echinata, 116 nucleotides long. RefSeq annotates it as U4 spliceosomal RNA. Lineage: Eukaryota; Metazoa; Mollusca; Bivalvia; Ostreida; Ostreidae. The transcript has a single exon. The record is from RefSeq and is a predicted model, not a curated record.